This 392-nucleotide ribosomal RNA is filed under the name uncultured bacterium. RNAcentral describes it as "partial 16S ribosomal RNA". It matches the Rfam family "Bacterial small subunit ribosomal RNA", at positions 523 to 917 of the family's 1533-position model. The record is from RNAcentral.
AUACGGAGGAUGCGAGCGUUAUCCGGAUUUAUUGGGUUUAAAGGGAGCGUAGGUGGGAUAUUAAGUCAGCUGUGAAAGUUUGGGGCUCAACCUUAAAAUUGCAGUUGAUACUGGUUUCCUUGAGUACGGUACAGGUGGGCGGAAUUCGUGGUGUAGCGGUGAAAUGCUUAGAUAUCACGAAGAACUCCGAUCGCGAAGGCAGCUCACCGGGCCGGAACUGACACUGAUGCUCGAAAGUGCGGGUAUCAAACAGGAUUAGAUACCCUGGUAGUCCGCACAGUAAACGAUGAAUACUCGCUGUUUGCGAUACACGGUAAGCGGCCAAGCGAAAGCGUUAAGUAUUCCACCUGGGGAGUACGCCGGCAACGGUGAAACUUAAAGGAAUUGACGGG